GACGAACGCUGGCGGCGUGCUUAACACAUGCAAGUCGAACGGAAAGGCCCUGCUUUUGUGGGGUGCUCGAGUGGCGAACGGGUGAGUAACACGUGAGUAACCUGCCCUUGACUUUGGGAUAACUUCAGGAGACUGGGGCUAAUACCGGAUAGGAGCUCCUGCUGCAUGGUGGGGGUUGGAAAGUUUCGGCGGUUGGGGAUGGACUCGCGGCUUAUCAGCUUGUUGGUGGGGUAGUGGCUUACCAAGGCUUUGACGGGUAGCCGGCCUGAGAGGGUGACCGGCCACAUUGGGACUGAGAUACGGCCCAGACUCCUACGGGAGGCAGCAGUGGGGAAUAUUGCACAAUGGGCGGAAGCCUGAUGCAGCAACGCCGCGUGCGGGAUGACGGCCUUCGGGUUGUAAACCGCUUUCGCCCGUGACGAAGCGUGAGUGACGGUAAUGGGUAAAGAAGCACCGGCUAACUACGUG
RNAcentral lists this ribosomal RNA (468 nucleotides) under uncultured bacterium. Its description in RNAcentral is "partial 16S ribosomal RNA". It matches the Rfam family "Bacterial small subunit ribosomal RNA", at positions 28 to 507 of the family's 1533-position model. The record is from RNAcentral.